GGAGGCGUGCCAGAGCGGCCGAAUGGGGCGGUUUCGAAAACCGCUAUGCCCAAAAGGCAUCGGGGGUUCGAAUCCUCCCGCCUC
This 84-nucleotide transfer RNA is filed under the name Candidatus Wildermuthbacteria bacterium RIFCSPHIGHO2_01_FULL_45_20. Its description in RNAcentral is "tRNA-Ser". It matches the Rfam family "tRNA". Rfam says of the family: Transfer RNA (tRNA) molecules are approximately 80 nucleotides in length. Their secondary structure includes four short double-helical elements and three loops (D, anti-codon, and T loops). Further hydrogen bonds mediate the characteristic L-shaped molecular structure. tRNAs have two regions of fundamental functional importance: the anti-codon, which is responsible for specific mRNA codon recognition, and the 3' end, to which the tRNAs corresponding amino acid is attached (by aminoacyl-tRNA synthetases). tRNAs cope with the degeneracy of the genetic code in two manners: having more than one tRNA (with a specific anti-codon) for a particular amino acid; and 'wobble' base-pairing, i.e. permitting non-standard base-pairing at the 3rd anti-codon position. The record is from RNAcentral. Lineage: Bacteria; Candidatus Wildermuthiibacteriota.